Molecule: long non-coding RNA, 2436 nt
Organism: Salvelinus namaycush (lake trout)
Lineage: Eukaryota; Metazoa; Chordata; Actinopteri; Salmoniformes; Salmonidae
Exons: 3
Source: RefSeq, a predicted model, not a curated record
CGCUGCUAAGCAGAGAGCGCACUGAACAGAGACCGCCGUUGCACUUGGCCAAAUCAAUUCAUUAAAUAAUUAUACAUUUACUGACACGUCGCGACCCACCACAGGUCCGCGAGCCAUACUUUAAGAACGGCUACCAUAGAAUAUCUAAUCAGGGGACUAUUUCAGACAAAUUGUCAGGGGCGCUGUGGUUCUGUUUCAUGACGAACAAGGGUUGGUAGCUAAUGAGGGAUUACUGUAUUGUUUGACAAGGACUGAGACUAAAAAAACCAAAAGUAUUUGGUAAAUCAAAGGAAAUAGUUGUGGAAUGUUCCAGAUCUUGGCGUACGCCUACUGGAGUUUUGGACAAUUUACCAGCAUGUUUAUAUAUUCCAUUCUGAUAGAGAUCACCCUUCCUGUCAGAAAGAUAUACAAAUACACCCAGAGCCAAAAAUCUGACAGUUUACUGACGCAAGUGAACGAAAGUUUACAGUAUUGUGUCAUUGGAUAGAAUAAGUAGCUAAGCGUUAUGUCCGGUCGAUUUUGUAUUUAUACCCGAGUAAGAUUGAUAUAAAGGCAUUAGUCUUGACGUAGCCUCGUCGCGAACCACGCGAUUUGGAAGAUCAGCCCUCAAUCUUUUUAUUUGCAAGAGGGGUGGGUUCAUAAACUUUGCCGAAGUACUAGAAACCCAAGGGACUUAAAAUUGUCCUAAUCACUCCUGUGCAUCCCUUAGAGAAUUGUGCCUUCAGCACAGUGGAUGGCUCCCAGCAUCGGAUCAACUUUAAGGAUUAUGAGGUCGUCCUGGGUGCUACACACUUAAAGAGAAAUUCAAAGAGUUUGAGCGGAAUGGGGAACCCAAUGAACAGCUUCUGAAGUCACUUGAGGUACGGCCAGCAGACCAGAGGUCAAGCUCACCCUGCUGCAUAAAGGGCCAUCCUUCUGGGAAGGGCCUAGUAGAGGGAAAGGCGGCAGAUACCAGGCUGGGCCUCAGCUGGGGAGAGCAGAUGCUGGGGGCAAAGUACAAAGGGGUAAUGGUGGUCUUAGUACCGUCAAAGCCUACCUCCCUUAUCAAGCCUGCGGCAACAAGCCGAACAGCCACCGGAAGAACCGAAGAAGUCCAAAAGAAAGUCCGACCCUGACGGAGGCUUGGGGAUGGCUGGAGAGCCGAGGAAGAGUGAACCAAUCAGGCCGCGAAAAAGGAAACCGCAAGGACACUGACAAAAGGGAUGGUAAUUCCCUAAAUGUUUGUCACCGUUGCCAUGGAUCCCUCCACUCCUGGGGUUUUGCAGAGCAAAGUCAGAGGAGAAAAGAGUGCCAAGUCCGUUGAGCACCAGCAAAUCUCUUGCUGCAUGCGAGACCAGGGCAGGGACAGAGAGAAGAGUAACAUAAGCAUUUCUGAUGAGGGUAAGGAUAACCAACAUGUUAAGAAACACUCAGAGGCUGGCAUGGCAAAUAUAAAAGCGGAAGGCUGGCAGAAUCCAACCAGUGCCCUUAAGAUGGUUGAUGAGACAAGGAAGUUAAGAGGACUAGUUGCUCGCCAACAGACUAGUCCGAAAGAGCUGCAGGUCCAAAUUAACUCAACGGAUAGCCAGAUUCAUGAGCUGGAGGAGAAACAAAACGUCAGGCAAACUGACCAAGAGAACCAGCAGAAGGUAGAGAAGGCAGAGCAGCUGGAAUUUUGGGAUAAUGAACUAAAGGUGGAAGAGGGAUAUGAGACUUGGAACAGUUCCUGGAGAUGAAAGAAAAAGCUGUUGAGUGUAAGGCCAAGUUGGAAGAGUACAAAAUGAAACUGCAAGGACUUGAUUCCUCAAGAGACAUUACUAUUCAAAGGGAGAAAGUUAAUGUUCCAAGCCAAGAUGCCACAUCUCCUGCUGCUGCAGGGUGGACAAGGCCAAAUGAGGCCUUGAAAUCAGUCAAGAGCUCUUAGUCAGCAUGGUAAAUAGACAGGAAGUUUGCUCCCAGAGAGAACUCAGAUCUUCCUUAUGCGCUAGUUUCUCCAAACCAGAUCAAGGACUUGCGGCUCUCGUGGCCAAGUCCGCUUAGAGACUGGUGGACAUACUGGUCUGAAGCCCCAGGUCCAAAUUCAGAAACACAACCAAGGGUUGUGCAUCGCUCCGAGAUAACAAUACAUCUGGGCAGCACCAGGGUUUGAACGAGGUAGAGCAAGAACUGAAACUCACUGGUUUAAAAACAAGCAAACCAGUAACUUAAUGUGCGUGAUAAUUCAAACUGCAGGGAUUUGUUCCCAGUUUUACAUUUCUAUAUGGCAACAAUAAAAUGUCUUUCUUUAAGCAAACUUCUAUUGUCCUACCAAAAGUUGCUGAAUAGCUUUUCCCAUCUUCAGUUUGCUCCACUGUUCAGGCACAUUUGUUUGAAAGUAGGAACAGCAUUUCUUUUUCACUGCACCGUUUCAAGACAAGUCUCUUGCUGCCAUCUUGAAUAAAAUAUUUUCUACAAACU